CCUACGGGGGGCAGCAGUGAGGAAUAUUGGUCAAUGGACGAGAGUCUGAACCAGCCAAGUAGCGUGAAGGAUGACUGCCCUAUGGGUUGUAAACUUCUUUUAUAUGGGAAUAAAAUGUUCCACGUGUGGGAUUUUGUAUGUACCAUAUGAAUAAGGAUCGGCUAACUCCGUGCCAGCAGCCGCGGUAAUACGGAGGAUCCGAGCGUUAUCCGGAGUUAUUGGGUUUAAAGGGAGCGUAGGUGGAUUGUUAAGUCAGUUGUGAAAGUUUGCGGCUCAACCGUAAAAUUGCAGUUGAAACUGGCAGUCGUGAGUACAGUAGAGGUGGGCGGAAUUCGUGGUGUAGCGGUGAAAUGCUUAGAUAUCACGAAGAACUCCGAUUGCGAAGGCAGCUCACUGGACUGCAACUGACACUGAGGCUCGAAAGUGUGGGUAUCAAACAGGAUUAGAUACCCCUGUAGUC
This 460-nucleotide ribosomal RNA is filed under the name uncultured bacterium. Its description in RNAcentral is "partial 16S ribosomal RNA". It matches the Rfam family "Bacterial small subunit ribosomal RNA", at positions 338 to 795 of the family's 1533-position model. The record is from RNAcentral.